RNAcentral lists this ribosomal RNA (468 nucleotides) under uncultured bacterium. RNAcentral describes it as "partial 16S ribosomal RNA". It matches the Rfam family "Bacterial small subunit ribosomal RNA", at positions 28 to 507 of the family's 1533-position model. The record is from RNAcentral.
GACGAACGCUGGCGGCGUGCUUAACACAUGCAAGUCGAACGGAAAGGCCCUGCUUUUGUGGGGUGCUCGAGUGGCGAACGGGUGAGUAACACGUGAGUAACCUGCCCUUGACUUUGGGAUAACUUCAGGAAACUGGGGCUAAUACCGGAUAGGAGCUCCUGCUGCAUGGUGGGGGUUGGAAAGUUUCGGCGGUUGGGGAUGGACUGGCGGCUUAUCAGCUUGUUGGGGGGGUAGUGGCUUACCAAGGCUUUGACGGGUAGCCGGCCUGAGAGGGUGACCGGGCACAUUGGGACUGCGAGACGGACCAGACUCCUACGGGAGGCAGCAGUGGGGAAUAUUGCCCAAUGGGCGGAAGCCUGAUGCGACAACGCCGCGUGCGGGAAGACGGCCUUCGGGUUGUAAACCGCUUUCGCCUGUGACGAAGCGUGAGUGACGGUAAUGGGUAAAGAAGCACCGGCUAACUACGUG